RNAcentral lists this ribosomal RNA (427 nucleotides) under uncultured bacterium. RNAcentral's name for it is "partial 16S ribosomal RNA". It matches the Rfam family "Bacterial small subunit ribosomal RNA", at positions 354 to 796 of the family's 1533-position model. The record is from RNAcentral.
GUUAGGAAUAUUGGGCAAUGGAGGAAACCCUGACCCAGCGACGCCGCGUGAGGGAAGACGGCCUUCGGGUUGUAAACCUCUUUUGUACGGGAAGAAGGAAGUGACGGUACUGUACGAAUAAGUCCCGGCUAACUACGUGCCAGCAGCCGCGGUAAUACGUAGGGGACGAGCGUUGUCCGGAAUUACUGGGCGUAAAGGGCGCGCAGGCUGUGCUGCAAGUCAGCUGUGAAAUGUCUGGGCUUAACCCGGGCAUGCGGUUGAGACUGCAGUGCUGGAGUGCUGUAGAGGCAAGUGGAAUUCCCAGUGUAGCGGUGAAAUGCGUAGAUAUUGGGAAGAACACCGGUGGCGAAGGCGACUUGCUGGGCAGCAACUGACGCUGAGGCGCGAAAGCCAGGGGAGCAAACGGGAUUAGAAACCCUAGUAGUCC